Molecule: ribosomal RNA, 625 nt
Filed under: Stenotrophomonas sp. NO2
Lineage: Bacteria; Pseudomonadati; Pseudomonadota; Gammaproteobacteria; Lysobacterales; Lysobacteraceae
Description: bacterial SSU rRNA
Rfam family: Bacterial small subunit ribosomal RNA
Source: RNAcentral
GCCUAACACAUGCAAGUCGAACGGCAGCACAGAGGAGCUUGCUCCUUGGGUGGCGAGUGGCGGACGGGUGAGGAAUACAUCGGAAUCUACUCUGUCGUGGGGGAUAACGUAGGGAAACUUACGCUAAUACCGCAUACGACCUACGGGUGAAAGCAGGGGAUCUUCGGACCUUGCGCGAUUGAAUGAGCCGAUGUCGGAUUAGCUAGUUGGCGGGGUAAAGGCCCACCAAGGCGACGAUCCGUAGCUGGUCUGAGAGGAUGAUCAGCCACACUGGAACUGAGACACGGUCCAGACUCCUACGGGAGGCAGCAGUGGGGAAUAUUGGACAAUGGGCGCAAGCCUGAUCCAGCCAUACCGCGUGGGUGAAGAAGGCCUUCGGGUUGUAAAGCCCUUUUGUUGGGAAAGAAAUCCAGCUGGCUAAUACCCGGUUGGGAUGACGGUACCCAAAGAAUAAGCACCGGCUAACUUCGUGCCAGCAGCCGCGGUAAUACGAAGGGUGCAAGCGUUACUCGGAAUUACUGGGCGUAAAGCGUGCGUAGGUGGUCGUUUAAGUCCGUUGUGAAAGCCCUGGGCUCAACCCUGGGAACUGCAGUGGAUACUAUGACGAGGUAGAGUGUGGUAGAGG